AAGGAUUUAAGUUAAAAACAAACUAAUAGCCUUCAAAGCUGUAAAUAGGGGGUCCCUAAGCCUU
Molecule: transfer RNA, 64 nt
Filed under: Cleroidea sp. 2 KM-2017
Lineage: Eukaryota; Metazoa; Arthropoda; Insecta; Coleoptera
Description: tRNA-Trp
Source: RNAcentral